Molecule: long non-coding RNA, 199 nt
Organism: Homo sapiens (human)
Lineage: Eukaryota; Metazoa; Chordata; Mammalia; Primates; Hominidae
Source: Ensembl
AGAAACUCGGAGGCUGGCGUCGAGGCUAGACAUGGACUCCGCGCCUGGCCCCUUCCAGAUCCCAGUUUUCUAAAGUGACUUCGCACCAAAGUCCGGUCUUUUAUGAACUUGAAACACAUCGGCUAGGUCUUCAUCCUCACCUGCACUGGAAUUACCUACUUAAGAAAAACAAACUAAUGAUACACAAAGAAGCACUUAU